RNAcentral lists this ribosomal RNA (650 nucleotides) under Pichia manshurica. RNAcentral's name for it is "eukaryotic LSU rRNA". The stretch from base 75 to 650 matches the Rfam family "Eukaryotic large subunit ribosomal RNA", at positions 1 to 644 of the family's 3401-position model. Lineage: Eukaryota; Fungi; Ascomycota; Pichiomycetes; Pichiales; Pichiaceae. The record is from RNAcentral.
GAAAAGAAACGUUGCGGACGAAGCGAACUACAUCGGGACGCUUUGGCCGCCGAGCGAAAAUAUAUCAUUGAGCUCGACCUCAGAUCAGGUAGGAGUACCCGCUGAACUUAAGCAUAUCAAUAAGCGGAGGAAAAGAAACCAACAGGGAUUGCCCCAGUAGCGGCGAGUGAAGCGGCAAGAGCUCAGAUUUGAAAUCGUGUUUCGGCACGAGUUGUAGAGUGUAGGCGGGAGUCUCUGUGGAGCGCGGUGUCCAAGUCCCUUGGAACAGGGUGCCUGAGAGGGUGAGAGCCCCGUAGGGUGCUGCGCGAAGCUUUUGAGGCCCUGCUGACGAGUCGAGUUGUUUGGGAAUGCAGCUCCAAGCGGGUGGUAAAUUCCAUCUAAGGCUAAAUAUUGGCGAGAGACCGAUAGCGAACAAGUACUGUGAAGGAAAGAUGAAAAGCACUUUGAAAAGAGAGUGAAACAGCACGUGAAAUUGUUGAAAGGGAAGGGUAUUGGGCUCGACAUGGGGGGUGCGCACCGCUGUCUCUUGUAGGCGGCGCUCUGGGCGCCCUCUGGGCCAGCAUCGGUUCCUGCUGCGGGAGAAGGGGCUCCGGAAAGUGGCUCUUCGGAGUGUUAUAGCCGGGGCCAGAUGCCGCGUGUGGGGACCGAGG